This 678-nucleotide ribosomal RNA is filed under the name bacterium La-8-296. Its description in RNAcentral is "bacterial SSU rRNA". It matches the Rfam family "Bacterial small subunit ribosomal RNA", at positions 66 to 775 of the family's 1533-position model. The record is from RNAcentral.
ACGGUUCCUUCGGGGAACAGUGGCGGACGGGUGAGUAACACGUGGGAACGUGCCCUUUGGUACGGAACAACUGAGGGAAACUUCAGCUAAUACCGUAUGUGCCCUUCGGGGGAAAGAUUUAUCGCCAUUGGAGCGGCCCGCGUUGGAUUAGGUAGUUGGUGAGGUAAAGGCUCCCCCAGCCUACGAUCCAUAGCUGGUCUGAGAGGAUGAUCAGCCCCACUGGGACUGAGACCCGGCCCCGACUCCUACGGGAGGCAGCAGUAGGGAAUCUUGCGCAAUGGGCGAAAGCCUGACGCAGCCCUGCCGCGUGAAUGAUGAAGGUCUUAGGAUUGUAAAAUUCUUUCACCGGGGACGAUAAUGACGGUACCCCGGAGAAGAAGCUCUCGGCUAACUUCGUGCCAGCAGCCGCGGUAAUACGAAGGGGGCUAGCGUUGCUCGGAAUUACUGGGCGUAAAGGGCGCGUAGGGCGGAUAGUUUAGUCAGAGGUAAAAGCCCAGGGGCUCUAACCUUGGAACUGCCUUUGAUACUGGCUAUCUUGAGUACGGGAGAGGUGUGUGGAACUCCCGAGUGUAGAGGUGAAAUUCGUAGAUAUUCGGAAGAACACCCAGUGGCGGAAGGCGACUUACCUGGGCCCCGUUAUCUGACGCCUGAGGCGCGAAAGCGUGGGGGAGCAAACAG